GACGAACGCUGGCGGCGUGCCUAAUACAUGCAAGUAGAACGCAGUUGCGAACGGGUGAGUAACGCGAAGGUAACUGCCUCAUAGAGGGGGAUAACUAUUGGAAACGAUAGCUAAUACCGCAUACUGUGAGACGGACCUGCGUUGUAUUAGCUAGUUGGUGAGGUAAAGGCUCAACAAGGCGACGAUACAUAGCCGACCUGAGAGGGUGAGCGGCCAGACUGGGACUGAGACACGGCCCAGACGCCUUGGGGAGGCAGCAGUAGUGAUGCUUGGGGAAUGGACGGAGGUCUUACCGAGCAGCGCCGCGUGAGUGAGGAAGGUUUUCGGAUCGUAAAGCUCUGUUGUUAGAGUAGCGGUAAUUAACCAGAAAGGGACGGCUAACUACGUGCCAGCAGCCGCGGUAAUUC
RNAcentral lists this ribosomal RNA (407 nucleotides) under uncultured bacterium. RNAcentral's name for it is "partial 16S ribosomal RNA". It matches the Rfam family "Bacterial small subunit ribosomal RNA", at positions 28 to 526 of the family's 1533-position model. The record is from RNAcentral.